GGAUUAGAAACCCGGGUAGUCCUGGCAGUAAACGGUGCACGCUUGGUGUGAGGGGAAUCGACCCCCCUUGUGCCGGAGCUAACGCGUUAAGCGUGCCGCCUGGGAAGUACGGUCGCAAGACUAAAACUCAAAGAAAUUGACGGGGACCCGCACAAGCGGUGGAGUAUGUGGCUUAAUUCGAUGCAACGCGAAGAACCUUACCAAGGCUUGACAUGGAUUUCUAAGCACGUGAAAGCGUGUGACCCUUCGGGGGACUUCCACAGGUGCUGCAUGGCCG
Molecule: ribosomal RNA, 277 nt
Filed under: uncultured bacterium
Lineage: Bacteria
Description: partial 16S ribosomal RNA
Rfam family: Bacterial small subunit ribosomal RNA
Source: RNAcentral